AACCAUUCCAGGAUCCAUGUGUGGGGCAUAGGAUGUGGAUCUGCCUGCACCAUGUAACUUCCAAGUUUUGAAUGCACUUUAGAACAACACUCAGCAACACCACAUAUGAGCGGGUGGUCUUCACACCCCUGUUUUCUGUUCACCAUUGGGGGUGGGGGGCCAAAAGGAGGAGUUGGCCAUCUGGUUGGGGUCUGGAAUGCUGGGCCUCCCUGCUGGUGCAGGACCAGGGGCAGUCUGCUUGUCUCCAUCCCAGGGCAAAGGACAACAUCUCUUGGGUAUGGGGAUGGAUUGCUCCUCUGGGGCUGAUGGUCUGUGGGACCCAGGAAGACUGUAUACCUGCAUCUUUACCAACUUGCAUUGCAGUUUCUGUGCACUCCAGCCUCUUCUGUUCUAUGUGAGAGGAUUUUCUCUUUUCAAGAAAACAAACAGUCUCAGCUGUUGCACAGUGGAACAAAUUCUCUUGUUAAAUAACAACCAAACAGGAUGCCCUUAAAUGUAUCAUGUUUUUACUUUACAAGUUCAGAAGCAUUUUUCCUUUCCAGUUCACAAUCAAGUCUACUCCUAGGUUUAAAAAUAUGUAUAAGAAAAUUGGCCUAAUAUGAUAUUAUUGAUAAACAUAGACCAGGGUUUUUAUGAUGUAUUUAUGACUGUAUUGUGUUUUUGCCUUGUAAAGCACUUUGUGACACGUCUGUGAAAGGUGCCAUAUAAAUAAACUUUACUUACUUACUUACAUACAUACCUUUCCAGCUGUCCAGUGAUUAAUUACAUAAGUACCUGGAGACAGGACGUCACAGCAGAAGCAUACUCCAUAAUGUGUUGUACAUUUUUAUAUGUAUAUUACAUGCAUUUUUCAUCUAUGGUAUGUACCACCAUCAAGAAG
Long non-coding RNA from Oreochromis aureus, 880 nucleotides. NCBI's taxonomy places the organism in Eukaryota, Metazoa, Chordata, Actinopteri, Cichliformes, Cichlidae. The record is from Ensembl.